CUGUCGACAGCUCGUGUCGUGAGAUGUUGGGUUAAGUCCCGCAACGAGCGCAACCCUCAUCCUUAGUUACCAUCAGGUUAUGCUGGGGACUUUAAGGAAACUGCCAGUGAUAAACUGGAGGAAGGUGGGGAUGAUGUCAAGUCAUCAUGGCCCUUAUGGAGUGGGCUACACACGUGCUACAAUGGUGAUUACAAUGGGCUGCAAGGUCGCAAGGCUGAGCUAAUCCUAAAAAAUCAUCUCAGUUCGGAUUGUUCUCUGCAACUCGAGAGCAUGAAGUCGGAAUCGCUAGUAAUCGUGGAUCAGCAUGCCA
RNAcentral lists this ribosomal RNA (310 nucleotides) under Wolbachia endosymbiont of Aphis craccivora. RNAcentral describes it as "bacterial SSU rRNA". It matches the Rfam family "Bacterial small subunit ribosomal RNA", at positions 1049 to 1359 of the family's 1533-position model. The record is from RNAcentral. Lineage: Bacteria; Pseudomonadati; Pseudomonadota; Alphaproteobacteria; Rickettsiales; Anaplasmataceae.